Molecule: ribosomal RNA, 303 nt
Filed under: Triticum aestivum (bread wheat)
Lineage: Eukaryota; Viridiplantae; Streptophyta; Magnoliopsida; Poales; Poaceae
Description: partial small subunit ribosomal RNA
Source: RNAcentral
AUGGCGCGGCAUCCAACGGCACCACGUAGUUGCCAGUCGAGGCCGCCGCGGCGAGCACCACCCUGCCCCUCCUCUGCCACUCCGGCGCCACGGACAUGCGCACGCGGCUACGGCGGAAGCCGCGAGGGGAGCGGCGAGGAGGCAAGGGUCCGCGCGAGGGAGGCGGCGGCGGUGGCUUCCAUGGGGAUCGGAGCGGAGGAAGGUGGGAGCUUGGGGGAGUGUUGCGCGCAGCCGGUGCUUGCCGAAACUGGCCUGCAUGGGUGGUGGCGGCGGCGAGGAGAUUGUGGGGAGAGGAGCAGGUGA